RNAcentral lists this ribosomal RNA (796 nucleotides) under Shigella sonnei. RNAcentral's name for it is "bacterial SSU rRNA". It matches the Rfam family "Bacterial small subunit ribosomal RNA", at positions 1 to 786 of the family's 1533-position model. Lineage: Bacteria; Pseudomonadati; Pseudomonadota; Gammaproteobacteria; Enterobacterales; Enterobacteriaceae. The record is from RNAcentral.
AAAUUGAAGAGUUUGAUCAUGGCUCAGAUUGAACGCUGGCGGCAGGCCUAACACAUGCAAGUCGAACGGUAACAGGAAACAGCUUGCUGUUUCGCUGACGAGUGGCGGACGGGUGAGUAAUGUCUGGGAAACUGCCUGAUGGAGGGGGAUAACUACUGGAAACGGUAGCUAAUACCGCAUAACGUCGCAAGACCAAAGAGGGGGACCUUCGGGCCUCUUGCCAUCGGAUGUGCCCAGAUGGGAUUAGCUAGUAGGUGGGGUAACGGCUCACCUAGGCGACGAUCCCUAGCUGGUCUGAGAGGAUGACCAGCCACACUGGAACUGAGACACGGUCCAGACUCCUACGGGAGGCAGCAGUGGGGAAUAUUGCACAAUGGGCGCAAGCCUGAUGCAGCCAUGCCGCGUGUAUGAAGAAGGCCUUCGGGUUGUAAAGUACUUUCAGCGGGGAGGAAGGGAGUAAAGUUAAUACCUUUGCUCAUUGACGUUACCCGCAGAAGAAGCACCGGCUAACUCCGUGCCAGCAGCCGCGGUAAUACGGAGGGUGCAAGCGUUAAUCGGAAUUACUGGGCGUAAAGCGCACGCAGGCGGUUUGUUAAGUCAGAUGUGAAAUCCCCGGGCUCAACCUGGGAACUGCAUCUGAUACUGGCAAGCUUGAGUCUCGUAGAGGGGGGUAGAAUUCCAGGUGUAGCGGUGAAAUGCGUAGAGAUCUGGAGGAAUACCGGUGGCGAAGGCGGCCCCCUGGACGAAGACUGACGCUCAGGUGCGAAAGCGUGGGGAGCAAACAGGAUUAGAUACC